GUGUGUGAAGAAGGCCUUAUGGUUGUAAAGCACUUUAAGCGAGGAGGAGGCUACUUUAGUUAAUACCUAGAGAUAGUGGACGUUACUCGCAGAAUAAGCACCGGCUAACUCUGUGCCAGCAGCCGCGGUAAUACAGAGGGUGCAAGCGUUAAUCGGAUUUACUGGGCGUAAAGCGCGCGUAGGCGGCUAAUUAAGUCAAAUGUGAAAUCCCCGAGCUUAACUUGGGAAUUGCAUUCGAUACUGGUUAGCUAGAGUGUGGGAGAGGAUGGUAGAAUUCCAGGUGUAGCGGUGAAAUGCGUAGAGAUCUGGAGGAAUACCGAUGGCGAAGGCAGCCAUCUGGCCUAACACUGACGCUGAGGUGCGAAAGCAUGGGGAGCAAACAGGAUUAGAUACCCUGGUAGUCCAUGCCGUAAACGAUGUCUACUAGCCGUUGGGGCCUUUGAGGCUUUAGUGGCGCAGCUAACGCGAUAAGUAGACCGCCUGGGGAGUACGGUCGCAAGACUAAAACUCAAAUGAAUUGACGGGGGCCCGCACAAGCGGUGGAGCAUGUGGUUUAAUUCGAUGCAACGCGAAGAACCUUACCUGGCCUUGACAUAGUAAGAACUUUCCAGAGAUGGAUUGGUGCCUUCGGGAACUUACAUACAGGUGCUGCAUGGCUGUCGUCAGCUCGUGUCGUGAGAUGUUGGGUUAAGUCCCGCAACGAGCGCAACCCUUUUCCUUAUUUGCCAGCGAGUAAUGUCGGGAACUUUAAGGAUACUGCCAGUGACAAACUGGAGGAAGGCGGGGACGACGUCAAGUCAUCAUGGCCCUUACGGCCAGGGCUACACACGUGCUACAAUGGUCGGUACAAAGGGUUGCUACCUAGCGAUAGGAUGCUAAUCUCAAAAAGCCGAUCGUAGUCCGGAUUGGAGUCUGCAACUCGACUCCAUGAAGUCGGAAUCGCUAGUAAUCGCGGAUCAGAAUGCCGCGGUGAAUACGUUCCCGGGCCUUGUACACACCGCCCGUCA
This 1007-nucleotide ribosomal RNA is filed under the name Acinetobacter sp. Its description in RNAcentral is "bacterial SSU rRNA". It matches the Rfam family "Bacterial small subunit ribosomal RNA", at positions 401 to 1399 of the family's 1533-position model. The record is from RNAcentral. Lineage: Bacteria; Pseudomonadati; Pseudomonadota; Gammaproteobacteria; Moraxellales; Moraxellaceae.